Molecule: long non-coding RNA, 1203 nt
Organism: Rhineura floridana
Lineage: Eukaryota; Metazoa; Chordata; Lepidosauria; Squamata; Rhineuridae
Exons: 2
Source: RefSeq, a predicted model, not a curated record
UUACUCGCGCGUACGCUUGCGGCCCGAUCCCAUGCAUGCUCGCUCAAGAGAAGCGAGUCCCUCUGCACCCCAUAGGAUUUCCUUUCCGAAAGGCAGCGCGCAGAGGAUAAUCCGAAUCCCCUCAGCCGGGACCCCUCCCCUCCACCUCUCUCCCUUUCUCCAUCUGCAAACACCGCCUCUUGCACGUCCGCACGCUGGCGAGUGUUUGCAAAAACAAACAGCUCCACCCACGCGAGCCUUUCCCCCGUUCUUAAUAAGAACACCCCUUUUGCAAAGCGGGCCUUCGACUCACCGUAGACCUUAGGACUGGGGGCUUUGUGCGCCCCCACGACCGCCACAUCAACCUCCACCUUCCCAUCGCAAGGGUCCCAUGCGCUUUCCUCAACAGCUGAGGGGUUCCUCAGAGCUGGAUGGGGGCGGAGGGAAGGUGGGUGGGAGGGCAGAGAGCUGAGUGUGACCCGGUUGCAAAUAACUGUCACUUCCUGAAAGUAAAAGGAAGAGAAAGGUUCGGAAAUGCGGAUGUUGCCUUCCCCGCGACCCCCACUUUUUCUCCCCUGUACGAAUUGACAUUGGGUUUCUAUCUCUACUGCAUCUGUUCUCUACCAAGAACACAGUUCUGGGUUUAUUUUGUUGCAAAGAGAAAGAGAAGGACUUUUUUUUCCAACGAAGGAACAAAAUAUGUUGCAACCGGGGUCGAACCUUGUAACUGCACGAGGAUGCAAAAUGGCUUUGCAACGCUUCCAUGGAACUUGAUCAGUCAUUCUCAUCACCAUGAUAUGCCAAAUCCAUCUGAACCAUUCAUCACUUGCGGGAAUAGUAUGUCUUCUCCAAUUUUUUUGAGACUGAGAUCCAAGCAACUAUCAACAUGUGCAUUACCAAAAACCUUUGAUCCUCCUUUACCUGGCUUUUUAUAUAUCUCAAAACAUUCAUUUGUUAAUUGGAUCCUGUAAUUUCUCUUCCAGCUGUUGUUAUGACAUGUGCUCUUGGGAACUUGAGUGUGUGAACUUGCCACCCACAUGUCCCAUGAAACACACCUCCUUGAGAGGAGGGGGAUCUUUUGCUAGGGAUAAAACAAACGCUUCGCCCUGAAAUGUGCCUAAAUAGUGCAUGUAUAACCCAAAAAUUGCUGGUCCAAAUCAAAAUAAAACAAAGCUUUCUUUUAUUGAGAGAAAGAGAAGAAUAAAAGGUAAAGGUGUCCCCAAA